UUUGCCGUGGUUUUUAUUAGGGCCUUCUGCAUGGGUUUUAUAACUUGUAUUUGGUCUUAAUCAGCUAUGAGCGUACGGGUUCUAAUUUUAUCUGUGGGUUACUGUUUUUUUGUCGCUUGAUGUAGUAAACUUUUUAUUCCGUAUCUUGGUACCAUGUUUUCCUCUUUUGGGAAAGCAUUAAAUGUAGAAUCCUUGGCUACUGGUAGGCAGUAGAGUGCAGUUUUCAUGUACUCAUAGUUUCAAGUUGGUUUUUGAAAUGCUGAAUGCCCACUACUUCCUAUGUUUUUUUCUUUUUUCCACACAAGUUUCCCUGGGGACCCAUGGCAGAUAUUUAUAUGAUCAGGACCAUUCAUUGUGCAGUUCAUGCCAUAAGUUGUCAUGACCAAAGAUCAGCCCAAUUGGACUGUCCUUACUGCUUGUUUUGAGGUAAAAAUGGCCAGUCCUUGGGCCAUGUUUUGAACGAGCAGUUUUGUCUGAUAAGCCUGAUUUUUUGAGCCAUGGCUCAUAUGGUUGAGCCCACUGUAUGAAUGGGUUGGAUCCUGUACACAUCUGCUCUAUGUCCCCAUGACAACUUGUGCAAAAGCUUGUAGAGUUAGCAUUUCUACCUACCCUGCCCAUAGUCAGAGCCCAUUCUGGUAAGUGAAAAAAUCCUUCAAACUUAGUUUGUGGAAAGAAACCAGUAGAAUAACAAAUUGCAUGUUGAAUGCUUGCAGGCUUACCAAUUCUAGAACUCCAAAAAAAAAAAGAAAAAGAAAAAGAAAAAAGAGAACAAAUGGGCGCUACACUAUCUCAUGUCCCUUCUUGGAUCAAGUGGCCAAAUUUUAAUUGGAAUCCUUGGGCGUGCUUCCAUUCAGCAAAGAAACAGUCUCUUGUUCCAAUGCUAAAGGUGGUGGUAGCUAGCACCUGAUUGAAUUCAACCCUGAGGCUAUAAGCAUGAACCCCAAUAAUAACUUGAACCUCAAUAAUAAUGCAAUUUGGAGGUGGAAGCAUGAAGCUCGGCAUUUCCUAAUAGCCUAGCCUUGUUGCUCGGAGUUCUUCCAUGGGAACUUACAUCGCCAAGUUUGGAAGCUUUUGGGGAAUUGAGGAUCCUUAAAUGUGUCGGCAAAGAAAGCUUUCAUGGAUUUGGGGUUACCCGUGGAAGCAAGUUUUCUAAUUUCUUAUUUUCUUUAUCUUUUAGGAAUGGUAAAUCCGUCGAAUGUAAAUGAUAACAAUGAUCCUUUUUUUUUUUUUUUGCUUUAUUGUGCAUGUUAGAAUCUCUGAAAUUAUGUUUUGAAUGUAGUUUUGUGACUAUUGCAAACAGCGUGCAUUGAAUUUUUGUCAAUGGGGUAAUUGAGCUAAACCUUGUCACUAUUCAUGUCUUGUUCUUGUUUCUGAUUGUUUCUGGAGCUUGCAGUUUAUUCCUAAAGCUUUCGUAAGCUCACGUGCUACUAUUCACAUGGUGUUUGGAACACUCAAUCCACCCAUGUAAUGGGUGGAUCCAGUCACCCUGCCCAUACAUCGGGCCUGUCAACUCUCAGGUAGGUCAUACCUGUAUGAGAAUGAUGGAUGCUUGAUAAAGAACAAGAAAAGGUAAUAGGAUUUCAGCUGUCAAUAUUUAGUGUACAGGUGGCCCGCUAAAUGAGUGGACUGGCCUACUUUUUGGGAGAACUAAUCUAAUGGGUAGGAUGCUAACUUUUGUGGAACCCAAUAAAUGGAUUUGAUUCCUCAACAAGCUUUGUGAAAUGCAUGCAUAUAGAAACCACAAUCAUGAUCUCAGACCUCAUCCUGGCUCAUGGAUUGCAACUCAUUUUUGGUGGCAUCAAUUCACUUAGAAUAAUUUGGGCAUUCCAUAGCUUAUGAAAAUGUGACCGGAUAAUGGUUAUCAAUGCCCAUAUCAUUUUCCUAUAUAUGCACCACAUAAUCAUAUGUAAUAACAAAUCUCCUUUAUGAGGUUUUCUGGUUAUUUUCUGUGCUGGUGUAUCCCCAUUGGACACAUUAGUAUCAUGUGAGUGUGCAUUGUCUAGAUCUUGGUGUUCUACUUAAUUGUAAUGAUCAAUCAGUCGGGGGACGCCCUGAUUAUCCGAAUUUAUGAUGAAGGGCAGUAAGGCUCGUAUUUCUUCCAAAAACCACUUUGCAUGGUUCCGUGAUCCCACUAAUCUGCAUAUCUCCAAGGAGUUUGACAUUGCCGAUAGCACCCUUUGGGUCUUUGUGGAUAUCCAGUGAAAUAUCCACUAUCAGUUUUUUAAUCCAAUUUCCCUUCAUGUAGGUCAUAGAUUUUUGCUUUGGCUGAGCAUCCCUAUAUGCGUAGAUGCCUUGGGCUGGGUUCUUACCUCUCCAUGACUUGAAAGGAGUUUUAAGGGUGCCUUUAUUGGGAACCCUGUUUAGGAACUAUGAAGAGAGCUUCACCCUACAUAGAUUCGGGUAAGGUGAAGCUAAUAAUACUACUACUAGCAGUAGGCGACAAAGUCGCUUCGUUACAUAUCCAUUAGGAACUACAAUUUUUUUGGUACAUUACAGUCAUGCAUUUACAAUCCAUGUAGUACCUUUAUACAUGCUAUCAAAGAGUGUUACUCUUGUCGUGCCAGGUUUCAAUUCACAAUUCACAUGCAGGGCAAGAAAGGUUUGAGCAAAUUGGGCGUUAAGACUUAGUUUAUACAAACUAUCAUGCAAAUCACUGAAACCAACCCACGGCUAAUGCUUAAAAACAUUGAAUCUAGUCAUCUACCAUUACUAAAUCAAAAAGUAUAACUCUGUGCAUUAAGUUUAGAAAUAGAAUUUAAGUUGUGUGAAAUACGUGGAAUCUAAAAUAUAUUUUUAAAUCUAAAUAAUACCAAGUGCUUAAAAAUAGCGAGUCACUAUUGCUUCUGUUUAGCUUUUCCAAUUCUCAUUUGUUUGGGCUCCGGUUUGAAAAGAAUCCUCGCGGGCCUAUUUGUUUUUCCAAUUAUAGCAGCAAUUGGCUGCAAAUGGGUAAUGAUUGCUUACUCCUGUAAUUCCGUAUUGAUGUUAGUGUGAUUUGAUCGUAAUGAUGAUUGAGCUUAGGGUUUUUGUUUUCUCCAUGAAUCACUAUAAAUAAGGUAGUUUUACAACAGAAAAUUGUAAUGAUUACAAUUUCUUUCCUUUGACUGCAUUUGAAUAUUGAUUCUUGUGCGGAAUUCUUGUGUUAUCAAACACCUUCCAAAGAUAAUGAUGGCUAAUUUACUUGUAAUUAGACAGGAAAUUGGAAGGCCCUGAAUGGAUUUGGAAACAUGGACAAUAGCACCAUAGUCUAUCCACCAAAUGUUAGAAGGUAUGCUAGCAAGAUUGGUUUUCAAACAUAUGAAAGUUAAGGAUUUACCUUUCUUUUUGAACCAUUCGCUUUGCAUUCGGGCAAACCUUAUAUGCCCCUUCUUUUUAUAGAAGUAACACCUUAGACCGCCUCUUCCCCUAUUUUCCUUCUUCGCUUGUAGGCUAUUGGGAGAGGAUGAUGCUUUAUUUGAUGAUUAUCCUUUUCCUUCACUAUACUUCUUGUUCUUGUUUUCAUACUCUCUAUUCACCAUGUUUACAAACAACCGUCCUUCCUUUUCUAUUAUUAUUAUUAUUUCAGUCUGGCUUCCUCUUGA
Magnolia sinica is the source of this 3578-nucleotide long non-coding RNA. RefSeq lists it as uncharacterized. Lineage: Eukaryota; Viridiplantae; Streptophyta; Magnoliopsida; Magnoliales; Magnoliaceae. The record is from RefSeq and is a predicted model, not a curated record. The transcript is spliced from 3 exons.